Chinchilla lanigera (long-tailed chinchilla) is the source of this 739-nucleotide long non-coding RNA. RefSeq lists it as uncharacterized. The transcript is spliced from 3 exons. NCBI's taxonomy places the organism in Eukaryota, Metazoa, Chordata, Mammalia, Rodentia, Chinchillidae. The record is from RefSeq and is a predicted model, not a curated record.
GAGACCAGGUGCCAGUGGUUCCUGCGCUUGGUGCCGAGCGCGAUGUAGCUGGCGAACUUGGUGGCCGCGUGCAGGACCAUGUCGUGCACGACAGCCAAGAUAGAAAUAUUACAGGCAGUCAGAUGGGGCGAGUCGCUGGACUGCAGCAGAUGAGAACACACCAGGACUGAAGAAGAUUAAAGUCACAGUGGCCACAUUUACGAACUUCCCGAAGGGAUGAAGGGACGCUUGAGAUUAUUGGUACAGCCUUUUGAGGUCUCCCAUAGAAAGAAACUUGAUAGGGGAGCCGAGUUGCUGGGUGACGGCGCCCCCGUGUUGAACAUGUUACAUCCCCCGUUUUCCGCAGUGGCCGUGCCAUUUCCCAUCCCCACCGGUGACGUAUGUGGUAUGAUCGGGCCAAGACCCACACAGAAACGACCAGACCUUCUGACACGAGAGGAGUCUUUAUUGGGGGAAGCGACGUGGCGGGCUGCCCAGCAGACUAGGACAGCCCUGAUCUGAGCAAAGCAUGGGGUUUUUAAGCCGUCUUUUGGGGAGGGUGUCUCUAAGCCAGAACAUUUUCUGGGAGCGGGUGUCCGUGGGUCAGAACAACCCGAGCAGGGUGGGUUGUUUGUAAGAGUUGAACGUCUGGUUCUGCCAAGGCGGAUGAGGGCGAGAUUGGCUUUUGUUGAGGGGACCUAGAGGGGAACAGGUGAAGAGGAAGUUUUUAUUAACUCCUUAAUAAAAGAGCUUAAAUCUC